RNAcentral lists this ribosomal RNA (496 nucleotides) under uncultured bacterium. RNAcentral describes it as "partial 16S ribosomal RNA". It matches the Rfam family "Bacterial small subunit ribosomal RNA", at positions 28 to 506 of the family's 1533-position model. The record is from RNAcentral.
GACGAACGCUGGCGGCGUGCCUAAUACAUGCAAGUUGAGCGCUGAAGGUUGGUACUUGUACCAACUGGAUGAGCAGCGAACGGGUGAGUAACGCGUGGGGAAUCUGCCUUUGAGCCGGGGACAACAUUUGGAAACGAAUGCUAAUACCGCAUAAAAACUUUAAACACAAGUUUUAAGUUUGAAAGAUGCAAUUGCAUCACUCAAAGAUGAUCCCGCGUUGUAUUAGCUAGUUGGUGAGGUAAAGGCUCACCAAGGCGAUGAUACAUAGCCGACCUGAGAGGGUGAUCGGCCACAUUGGGACUGAGACACGGCCCAAACUCCUACGGGAGGCAGCAGUAGGGAAUCUUCGGCAAUGGACGAAAGUCUGACCGAGCAACGCCGCGUGAGUGAAGAAGGUUUUCGGAUCGUAAAACUCUGUUGGUAGAGAAGAACGUUGGUGAGAGUGGAAAGCUCAUCAAGUGACGGUAACUACCCAGAAAGGGACGGCUAACUACGU